GUAAUAAUAAUACAACGUAUACAAUGCUCAUAUGUGAGCUAUGAAUAACAAAGAAUAAAAAGUAUAAGUCUGGCUUAUGAGUAUCAUGCAUUUGUAAUAAUUAUGGGUAUUAGAUUUGUUUAUGUCAUGUAUAAGGUUAGUCUAAUGAAAAAUAUUGAGGUUUAUUUUGAAUGGAUUUCUUAAUUUCAAAUUGAAAUAAAGUAUUAGCAAUUGGUCAGCAUUGAAUAGAAAGUUUAUUUAUUGAAUAACUAUUUAGCUAGCAAAAACAUGCUUCAAACAGUACUUCCGAGCAUUCGUCAAUACCACCCACUUUCCAAGAAAUCGAGCAUCUCACAAGAAUCUACCUCAUUAGGACGCCAACCAUAUGAAUGUGUCACGGGUUUCAUCCUAGCAACUGCACAUUUGGUCCAUUUGAUCAGAUCCACCAUUUUGUUUUCGAACCGAUGACCCUUCGUCUAUACUCUCGACUAAUAAAUUUGAUUUCGACGAGACAAUUAUGUCGUUGCUCACCGGUUGAAAAAAAGGAAAAAAAUAGAUUAAUUUGCGGAGAGUGCUAAAGGAUUUGGCUGCUCAUGGCCUCUUGGCCAUAGAUACCAGUGGAUCCGUCCGAAAUUCAAGAUUGCUGGACAGUUACCUUGAGCCAAUUGGACGAAACCGAUCCGUUGUACUUGCGGAAAAAGUUUUUCAAUACAGUUUGGUGUUUGGUGGUGGAGAUCUUCUGUACUCGAGUACACACCGGAGAAAAGCCAUACAAAUGCAUUUACUCGAACGAACGACCAUUCGCACAGCUCAACUAGAUAUUUUACGCUGCACAUCCGGCGGCACACGGAGAAAACGCCGUACGUAUGCGGUAUCUGAAACGAACGAUUCAUCCAGGGGACGGCCUUGCGGCCCAUCAGUGAACCGCAGGUCACUAUACGAAAGACGUAGAUAUGAACGGUAUACGAUGGCGUCACAAUAGUUCGAUUCAGUGUUUGUGUAUUUUUCCUCAAAGCAUGAUGUAAGUGUUUUUCGGUGAUUGGAGAGUUCUGCAGGAGGAUGUUUGGCUGGCACGGAUGAUGAACUGCAGCUCGAUUGUAAGAGCAAUUGUAUAGAGAUUCUAUUUGGAAUCCGUUCUAAAUUCUACAAAAAAGUACUUUAGCUUUUCGAUCUGAAUCUUUCUAGGAUUUUAUGUUCCCUUCGGAAUCCUUUCAAGAUUCCAUUUGAAAUUAUGUCGCGAUUCUAUUCGCUAUAUCCUUUCGGAAUUCUAUUCGGUAUUUCGAGAUUCCAUUCGGGAAUCCUCAGAAGAUUGGAAUUAAGAAUUCUCAAAGAACUUCGAAUGGUAUCAAAAGAUUUCAAACGUUAUCCAGAAAUAAUUCCGAAUGGAAUCCAGAAAAAUCCUGCUGCAAUUAAUAGAAUGUCGCAACACUUAAUAGUUUAAAACAUAAUCCUGAAAGCCGUUCCUUAGAAUAGCUUAUUCCAAUGCCAUGGUCAUCGACUAUUCAGCACCAGCGGGUUCCAUUUGUUGCCUCUUGUCGAUUUCAUGGAGCUCGUAUCUCGCAAACAAUCAAUAAUCAAUUUACGGACGUUACAAUACUCGAAUAGAACGUAUUCUUAAAAUAUUGUACAAAAAUGUAAAAAAGAAUUCUAAUAAAAUAUUUGAAAUGGUUCUGAAUAUAAUUUUACAAUGUAAACAAAACGAAGCAUAUAAAGAACAAAAAGAAGAAGAAUCAAUAGGUACCCAUGUCUCCAUCAUAUCUAGCAAAAAUCUAGAAGAACUGUGGUACUCAUGUCUAGGAGAUAUCUCUGCGUUUUCUAAGAGAACCGAUAUGUCAAAUUUCUUUCGGUUUAAACGGUUCAAACGGUCUACUCGUCUAAAAUUUUGAGGUAGACACCGGUUUAAACGGUUGUUGCAUUUGAGGCGGAUUUGAGGUCUGACAG
Armigeres subalbatus is the source of this 1920-nucleotide long non-coding RNA. RefSeq lists it as uncharacterized. The record is from RefSeq and is a predicted model, not a curated record. The transcript has 3 exons. NCBI's taxonomy places the organism in Eukaryota, Metazoa, Arthropoda, Insecta, Diptera, Culicidae.